AAUAGUAACAAGACACAACCUUGAUGAUCUAAAACAAUCUGGAAUGCUAAGAAAAAAGACGAUGCACAUGGGAAAAGGUCUUACAUUUCCUUCUGUUGCUACUGAUGAAAACGAUCUUCAUUAAAGAAAACGACCCAGACCCAUGGACAGCAUCACCCGAAGCAAACUGGCAGGGAUCAGACAAUGCAUUGUAAAGAUUAAGCAGCACUGGGCCCCAACACAGAUGUGACUGUGGCCUACAGGAAGAUCUGCAGUCAGAGCCAGUACUCCAGACUACUGCCAGCAGAGACAAGAGGCCAUGAGGGCUCGAGUUUUCUCCUCCAAAUCUUGGUCGAUGGCAAAAAUGAUCUUGGCCCGCUCCUCUGCCUUCUUGUCUCCGGAGUUCCUGAAGAGCCUCUGCAGGGACUCCUGGUCUAUGUUCUCAAAGAUGUUGCCCACAGCUUUCUUGCGAGCAGCUGUGUCGAAGUGGUAGCCGUGGAUGGACGGGCUUACUCGAAGAGACGAGGACAUGCUGGUGGCUUGGUGGUUUGGCUUGGCUUUCAUCGAUGUGGGUCUUCCACUGCUCAGCUUGGGCACUUCCAGGGGAGUCUGUUGUAAAAAUCGUCCCAGGACGGCUAUUUAAAGUGUGAACAAAGCUCGGGACUCAAAUUACACUGGUGACGUCACAUUGAUCCCAGGGAGGAAAAAACCACAGAACAUUAACAGUUGCCUUGCCAAAGAUCUGGCUCCGGAUGCUAGAAUGCAUUUCAAAGCUUGUUUAGAGAUAGCUGGCUACAGGCUUGCCUCUUUACAUCUCAGACGGCAUUGUGCCUUACAAACUGGCUCUUCCUUCCAGAAGCUGAAAUCAGGAGAGAGAGAGAGAGAGAAAAGGCUCCAAACCUUUGCCUAGAUUGAAACAAGGAGUUCUGCCAAGCUCAACAGAGUUUCAAUUAGUACAAAAGUUUUAAAGUGUGGGCCAGACCCUGGCAGCCUAGGUCUGUGUGCCUUUUGCCUGUCCCUAUCAGGGUGAGGGUGAGGAAGUCAGAAGAAAAAAAAAUGUUUGGGAGGACAGGACAUCUGACUCUAGAGCUAAAGUUUGCUGACAGAAUACUGACAUGGCUCAGCCCUAAAGCACAAAUCUCAAACUGUACCUGAGUGCUGUGUGUAAUUUCUGCUGGGAACUACAAUUUAAACAGUAAUAGCGGCAGAUGGUAGCUCCCCAUCUUGUGUAGGUAUUGCCAGCAACGACUAUUCAAAAGCAAGGAGCAAAGGUUAAUGGAGGUGCUGUGGGUACUUAAUGCCCACAAGGAAUGAGCUGACAUUUUGUUUUGAGGGCUGCUUUGGAGCCACUCAGCAUUAUCAGAAUGAUGCUAUUUUCAUUACACGUUUUUAAUCUAUUACUUUUGCUAUCCACAAGACUCAGAUACGUACAGCUGUUCUAUGCUAAAUGUUACCUUCAUCUGACCGAAAGAUUCCUCUUUGUGAAUCAAAUCUCUACUGUCCUUUCUGGUCCUCCAAGAAACUAGAAUGGACUUUUUAUGUUAUUUCACUUAUAGGUAAGAAAAUCACACACCUAUAACCCCAUCUGUCUUAGAAGGCUGAGGCAGACUGGCAAGCUGCAGGACAGACUGAACUACACAGGAAUGCCCUGUCUCAGAAUUAAAUUAAAUGAAUAAAAUAG
This 1660-nucleotide long non-coding RNA is filed under the name Mus caroli (Ryukyu mouse). RNAcentral describes it as "lncRNA (MGP_CAROLIEiJ_G0006651.1)". Lineage: Eukaryota; Metazoa; Chordata; Mammalia; Rodentia; Muridae. The record is from RNAcentral.